Long non-coding RNA from Nerophis ophidion (straightnose pipefish), 1423 nucleotides. RefSeq lists it as uncharacterized. The transcript has 2 exons. The record is from RefSeq and is a predicted model, not a curated record. NCBI's taxonomy places the organism in Eukaryota, Metazoa, Chordata, Actinopteri, Syngnathiformes, Syngnathidae.
AUGUGCCCACAUACGUGUAUAUAUGUAUAUACAUAUAUAUACGUGUAUAUAUGUAUAUACAUAUAUACAUGUGUACACAUAUACAUAAACAUAUAUAUAUAUGUUUAUGUAUAUGUGUACACAUGUUUACAUAUUUAUAUAUAUAAAUAUGUAUGUGUUUAUAUUUAUGUAUGUGUACACAUAUUCAUACAUAUAACUACAUGUGUGUUUAUAUGUAUGUAUAUCUAUACAUACAUGUACAUAUUUAUAAAUAUUUGAAGUUAAUUAUAUUUAUAUAGCGCUUUUCUCUAGUGACUCAAAGCGCUUUACAUAGUGAAACCCAAUAUCUAAGUUACAUUUAAAGCAGUGUGGGUGUCACUGGGAGCAGGUGGGUAAAGUGUCUUGCCCAAGGACACAACAGCAGGAUGGCGGAAGUGGGAAUCGAACUUGCAACCCCCAAGUUGCUGGCACGGCCACUCUACCAACCGAGUUAUACCGCCCCAUUUGAGUGUAUGUGUAUAUAUAUUUAAAUUUUUUAUGAUUGCGAUUUUUAUUUAAUUGUAAAUUGAUUCCUAGUUUUUGAUUGAUUCAAAAAACAUUUACCUUUGGUUAAAAAAAAUAGGAAGAUGAUGUAUUGAUUCUGGUUUGCAUGGAGAAAGCCCAAAAAUUAAACGAAAGAAUGAAUUCCCCCUUUUUUUUUUUAAGAAUCGAUUCCAAUGUGACUCCCAACAUUUAGUCCCCUGACCAACAAAUUUGUCACAAAUGAACCGACCGGUAUUCUCCUUUUGUUGUCUGGAAGAGGCUGUUUGUGACGGAACAAUCUUGCUCUCGAUGGAUAUCGCUCAGAAAUUUGAGGAAUGGCCGACAGACUGCGACGCUGCCUUAAACUUCCAUGUGGUCAGCGCCUCCUCGCCCAGAGGGAACUCUUUAUUUAUUGUCCUGAGGAAACAACUUUGUACUUCAUUUGGGAAAGCGUAUGUACAAAAAUAUAUAUAUAUUAUAUAUUCAUGUUGUAAAACUUCUGUACUUAAGCUUGUGUUUGACGACAAAAAAAAAGUGUUUUUUUUUCUUCGCGCCCCCGUUUAAUCGAGUUUAUUCAUUUGGAAAAAAAAAAAACAUUUAAAAAAGCCCUUUUUUGUAUGAACUUUUGGCUCCAGGCGUCGUUUGUCGCCUGCCUAAAUAUACUUUUUUUUAAGUUGUCCUUUCAAGUGUAAAUCUUUGUGUUUAAUCACUUUUUUUCCGUUUUGCACUCUGUGUAAAUGCAAUCUUGCUAGCACAAAAAAAAAGAAUGUUGCCAAGAGUAGUUUGGACUUUGCUGCUGUAAAUGCUCUUUUUUUCGUGCUCUUUUUUUCCUCUUGAUUGUAUGUUAGUUCUCUCAUUUCAGUUCAUUGUGAUAUAUUUAGCUGCCUUUAUAUGCAAAUAAAAUUGCAAGAUUUUUACUUAA